This 484-nucleotide ribosomal RNA is filed under the name uncultured bacterium. RNAcentral describes it as "partial 16S ribosomal RNA". It matches the Rfam family "Bacterial small subunit ribosomal RNA", at positions 29 to 507 of the family's 1533-position model. The record is from RNAcentral.
AUUGAACGCUGGCGGCAUGCUUUACACAUGCAAGUCGAACGGCAGCGCGGGCUUCGGCCUGGAGGCGAGUGGCGAACGGGUGAGUAAUGCAUCGGAACGUGCCCAGUAGUGGGGGAUAGCCCGGCGAAAGCCGGAUUAAUACCGCAUACGACCUGAGGGUGAAAGCGGGGGACCGAAAGGCCUCGCGCUAUUGGAGCGGCCGAUGUCGGAUUAGCUAGUUGGUGGGGUAAAGGCUUACCAAGGCGACGAUCCGUAGCUGGUCUGAGAGGACGACCAGCCACACUGGGACUGAGACACGGCCCAGACUCCUACGGGAGGCAGCAGUGGGGAAUUUUGGACAAUGGGGGCAACCCUGAUCCAGCCAUGCCGCGUGCGGGAAGAAGGCCUUCGGGUUGUAAACCGCUUUUGUUCGGGAAGAAAUCCUCUGGGCUAAUACCCCGGGGGGAUGACGGUACCGGAAGAAUAAGCACCGGCUAACUACGUG